Molecule: ribosomal RNA, 501 nt
Filed under: uncultured bacterium
Lineage: Bacteria
Description: partial 16S ribosomal RNA
Rfam family: Bacterial small subunit ribosomal RNA
Source: RNAcentral
AUUGAACGCUGGCGGCAGGCUUAACACAUGCAAGUCGAGCGGGGGAAGGUAGCUUGCUACUGGACCUAGCGGCGGACGGGUGAGUAAUACUUAGGAAUCUGCCUAUUAGUGGGGGACAACAUCUCGAAAGGGAUGCUAAUACCGCAUACGUCCUACGGGAGAAAGCAGGGGAUCUUCGGACCUUGCGCUACUAGAUGAGCCUAAGUCGGAUUAGCUAGUUGGUGGGGUAAAGGCCUACCAAGGCGACGAUCUGUAGCGGGUCUGAGAGGAUGAUCCGCCACACUGGGACUGAGACACGGCCCAGACUCCUACGGGAGGUAGCAGUGGGGAAUAUUGGACAAUGGGGGGAACCCUGAUCCAGCCAUGCCGCGUGUGUGAAGAAGGCCUUGUGGUUGUAAAGCACUUUAAGCGAGGAGGAGGCUACUUUAGUUAAUACCUAGAGAUAGUGGACGUUACUCGCAGAAUAAGCACCGGCUAACUCUGUGCCAGCCGCCGCAGUAA